Molecule: ribosomal RNA, 756 nt
Filed under: uncultured bacterium
Lineage: Bacteria
Description: bacterial SSU rRNA
Rfam family: Bacterial small subunit ribosomal RNA
Source: RNAcentral
AGAGUUUGAUCCUGGCUCAGAAUCAACGCUGGCGGCGUGCCUAACACAUGCAAGUCGAACGAGAAAGGGACUUCGGUCCUGAGUAAAGUGGCGCACGGGUGAGUAACACGUGACUAACCUACCCUUGAGUGGGGGAUAACUUCGGGAAACCGAGGCUAAUACCGCAUAACACCUACGGGUCAAAGGAGCAAUUCGCUUAAGGAGGGGGUCGCGGCAGAUUAGUUAGUUGGCGGGGUAAUGGCCCACCAAGACAGUGAUCUGUAUCCGGCCUGAGAGGGCGCACGGACACACUGGAACUGAAACACGGUCCAGACUCCUACGGGAGGCAGCAGUGGGGAAUUUUGCGCAAUGGGGGAAACCCUGACGCAGCAACGCCGCGUGAAGGAUGAAGUAUUUCGGUACGUAAACUUCUUUCGAUCGGGACGAUAAUGACGGUACCGAGAGAAGAAGCCCCGGCUAACUUCGUGCCAGCAGCCGCGGUAAUACGAGGGGGGCGAGCGUUGUUCGGAAUUAUUGGGCGUAAAGGGUGCGUAGGCGGUUUGGUAAGUCUGAUGUGAAAUCUAUGGGCUCAACUCAUAGUCUGCAUCGGAAACUGCCGGGCUUGAGUAUGGGAGAGGUGAGUGGAAUUUCCGGUGUAGCGGUGAAAUGCGUAGAUAUCGGAAGGAACACCUGUGGCGAAAGCGGCUCACUGGACCAUAACUGACGCUGAUGCACGAAAGCUAGGGGAGCAAACAGGAUUAGAUACCCCCGUAGUCC